ACAAGGCCCCUGACAACAAGAAAGGCACAAGGCCCCUUCGCGUUCGGUCUCCCUGAUCUCUCCUUCCGAACAAAUCUCUAGGGUUUGGGCGCCGCCAACCCCGCCCCUCACGAUGCCAACAACGAGAUGGAGAAGGAUGUCGAGGUGGUGGUGACGGUCGCAUCACUCCCCGGCGGCCGGCGAAGGCAUCUUUUGCUGGCAGUGUCGAAUCAGCCGUGGCGGUGGCGGCAGGGCACAUCCCGACAAGUUGGCGAUGACAUGCUACCACCUAUUAUCGCCGCAAGCUCGGAGCCUCGGACUUGACCGGGUGUUAUACUGUUAACUGACAUGGCGGAGGCUCGGAGGCGACCCGGAGGUGAACUGCAUAUGUGCGAGCUCAAGCACAACCACAAGACCUCAAUUCCGACGUUCCUCUCCACCUGUGGCAACUUCACACUCGUAAGCCCCUCCUCUUUCCACAUGCACGUAGUAGCACAUUGCCUGAUAUGUUGGCCCAAGUAUUAUCUUUGCGGUGCUCUUAUUGUUAGUUCAGACUUGCAGACCCAUGUUUUUUGCUCAGAGCGAUGGCCAUAACAUGUUUGUAUAUAGUGGUGGUUGUGCUAAUCAAACCCUUUGUUUGAUGAAUUUAGUAGAAGGUAUUUAGUUAUGGAACCAUUGUUUAGGCAGAGAGACUCCACGUGAGUCGUGUGGUUAUUUCUGUUUGAAUCAGUGAACUGGUGAGGCAUGUUUGCAAGUAAUUUUCUCCAUGGAAUUAGUAUUCUAUAUAUGCGGCUGCUAUUUCUGUUUUAUUUCUUUAUGAGCUUCCGUUGAUUAGUGUUAAGCAAUCAACAUGCACGAGCUGGUUUGAGUCUAUCCAGAUUUCUUUUGAUAUAAGACACCAUAUAGUUCAUUUCUGGAUUAGUCACUGCAUCUUGUUUGGUUUGUUCUUUGGUUCUGUGAUUAGACGAGGGUGAGUGCCAUGGUCGUCUAUGUUGGGCUUCUGCACGACAGCGUUGAUGAUUCGUUUGUUGAAUAUGAUCACAUCUUCCACAUGUUCGGUGCUGGAGUGGCUGAUCUCGUGGAAGGGUUAUGUAUUCCUCUUCUCACGGAUUUUGACCAUUGUUUAAGAGGGAUUCGGAUAAUGGGUUUGGUAGUUAGUACAUUCAUAUUCGUUGGCAUCCUCAAGCUGUUGGCUAGAUCUACUGCAAAUAUUGUGAUUUAAAUUAUGAUGGCCUGCAGUAUGCCUCCCUAUAUUUAAGGCAAAUGAUCAUGGAAGUACACCUUCAGGAACAAGCUCGCCGAGGUCUUGGAAUUCCAACAUAGGUAAACAAGUGAACUCAUUUAACGGUUUCCCCUUUUCUGGCGAUGCGUGUAUAACUCAUUCAUUAAGGGCUACUCAGCUCUGUAUUUUUUUCUCUUUGGUAAUUGGAUUAUAUGCUACUCUGUGUUGAAGGAUCUGUUCAUGCUAAAUUUAACAAAUCUUUUCAUGUUUUCAUAAAUUACCUAUUUGAUCACUCUGCGUGGAAUGGUAAACAUUUGUAGUAUGGUCAGGGUUUGAUUAUUUUUAACAGUGCACAUACCUUCAGAAAAUAAACCAAUGAGGCUAUCUUGUUCGUCUUUCUACUUAUGUAUGUAUACAUAUGGGAUGCUUUGUUAGUUCUGUUGUGCAAAUAAUCAUUCUUUGUGUUGAUGAGCUAUGAUAAUGGCUCCCCAAAUUACAAUACUUGCUGAACGUACACUUUGUUGCGAUGAAAUCCUAUAUAUAAACAUAUUUUCCUAAUGAAUUGUGAUUAAACUUUGCUGCUUUUACCCACUUUGGUGCUGUUUCAGUGUAUAUGUACUAAAUUGUAAAAGAAGAUGAUUGUAUAUUUUGCUUUAUAGUACACCGGUUCAUGAGAACGAUGCUGAGAAGAUUCAGCUUGCUGUGCUAAAUGUCAUUCUGGCUUGACUCGAUAAUAUCAUGGUAACAUCGUGGAAUAUUUUAUUUUUUAUUGUAACAAACUGUAGUCAAAUUCAUCAGAUAUAUAUACUUUCAGGAUCGGAGGAACAAGUAGUUUUAGCCUUCUGUUUUCGAAUUUUUAGUUUAACAUCUCUGUACUUGUUGAAGCUGUUAUCUCCAACUCUACAUGAGCAUAGUGAUAUGCAGUAUAAAAAAUCUCCAUAUUUUUCUUCUUUGGUGAGCAUGGAAUAUCCAAAUUGACAUCUAAAGAUAGAUAAGUUAGUAGGGUAUAAUGUUGGCUAGCUUUUUUUAGGAUCAAAAUUGAUGUAUUAAUUUUCUUGUCAAAGGAUGAUUAACGGAAUCGUGGUAUUGCGGCCAAAAUAUACUCUCUUCAGUUUGUUGGUAAUGAGCAAAAUGUAGUGCUACUGGUAAUGUGAUUUGGAUUUGUGUGUGAAAUACAUUGUUGCAUGCAUGUUUCCAAAAUGAAAAAUGUAAUGGUUCCGAACAUAGCUGGAGAUAAAUUAUUUGCAGCAGCUAGGCAACAACAGUGCCAUGGAUACAGUUAAAAGUACUAGCAAUUGAUGAUAUUGUCAUAGCAAUUUUAAUUUGGAAAAAAUAUGUGUGAGAUUAAUCUUUUCUUUUCUUUCAUGCAAGGAAGAUAGUACAAAGUAUACUACAAUUUGUUGUAACCCACACAAUGAUUCAAGAAGCAGGGCCAAACAGGGCCAAUGAAGACAUAGCGUACAUUACUGUUCUUUAGGAUAUGAUGUUCAUUUUUCCCCACAACUAACUUCAAUAUUUAAUUCUUUGUGAGACAACUACUAAAAUAAGGUACUUUAUAGGUUUUUCAUUCCAUGUAUUGUGCAUAUUUUUAUGUGCGUACUUGACUCAGAUGCAAGCUACUCGCAGUACGUAUA
Triticum dicoccoides is the source of this 2835-nucleotide long non-coding RNA. RefSeq lists it as uncharacterized. Lineage: Eukaryota; Viridiplantae; Streptophyta; Magnoliopsida; Poales; Poaceae. The transcript is spliced from 2 exons. The record is from RefSeq and is a predicted model, not a curated record.